This 253-nucleotide ribosomal RNA is filed under the name uncultured bacterium. Its description in RNAcentral is "partial 16S ribosomal RNA". It matches the Rfam family "Bacterial small subunit ribosomal RNA", at positions 524 to 776 of the family's 1533-position model. The record is from RNAcentral.
UACGUAGGGUGCGAGCGUUAAUCGGAAUUACUAGGCGUAAAGCGUGCGCAGGCGGUUCGCCAAGUCAGGUGUGAAAUCCCCGGGCUUAACCUGGGAAUUGCGCUUGAAACUAGCGAGCUUGAGUGUGGCAGAGGGGGGUGGAAUUCCACGUGUAGCAGUGAAAUGCGUAGAUAUCGGGAGGAACACCGGUGGCGAAGGCGGUUCUCUGGGCCUGUGCUGACGCUGAGGAGCGAAAGCGUGGGGAGCGAACAGG